Molecule: ribosomal RNA, 253 nt
Filed under: uncultured bacterium
Lineage: Bacteria
Description: partial 16S ribosomal RNA
Rfam family: Bacterial small subunit ribosomal RNA
Source: RNAcentral
UACGUAGGGGGCAAGCGUUAUCCGGAUUUACUGGGUGUAAAGGGAGCGUAGACGGCACUGCAAGUCUGGAGUGAAAGCCCGAGGCCCAACCACGGGACUGCUCUGGAAACUGCGGGGCUGGAGUGCAGGAGGGGUAAGCGGAAUUCCUAGUGUAGCGGUGAAAUGCGUAGAUAUUAGGAGGAACACCGGUGGCGAAGGCGGCUUACUGGACUGUAACUGACGUUGAGGCUCGAAGGCGUGGGGAGCAAACGGG